Molecule: ribosomal RNA, 519 nt
Filed under: uncultured eukaryote
Lineage: Eukaryota
Description: SSU rRNA
Rfam family: Eukaryotic small subunit ribosomal RNA
Source: RNAcentral
AGGGCACCACCAGGAGUGGAGCCUGCGGCUUAAUUUGACUCAACACGGGAAAUCUCACCAGGCCCGGACACUGGAAGGAUUGACAGAUUGAGAGCUCUUUCUCGAUUCGGUGGGUGGUGGUGCAUGGCCGUUCUUAGUUGGUGGAGUGAUUUGUCUGGUUAAUUCCGAUAACGAACGAGACUCUGUCCUGCUAAAUAGUUCCCGCGUCCUUUGUUGCGCGGGAAAUUCUUCUUAGAGGGACUGGCGGCGUCUAGCCGCACGAGAUUGAGCAAUAACAGGUCUGUGAUGCCCUUAGAUGUUCUGGGCCGCACACGCGCUACACUGAAGGGAUCAGCGUGUCUUCCCUUUCCGAGAGGAACGGGUAACCCGCUGAACCCCCUUCGUGGUAGGGAUCGGGGCUUGCAAUUAUUCCCCGUGAACCAGGAAUUCCCAGUAAGCGCAAGUCAUAAGCUUGCGUUGAUUACGUCCCUGCCCUUUGUACACACCGCCCGUCGCUACUACCGAUUGGACGUUUUAGUG